UGCAGACAGGCCAGGAAGGGAUACCUAUUGGUGCCAAAUAAAGGAGACGAAUACAUCCUGUUCAAACCAGAUGACUACCAGCCACCCACAGACAAGCCCGGCCUGUCUCAAACAGACAUAAUCCUCAUCAGUGUUUUCUGCUCCUUGGGUGGUGUGGCCAUUAUCGGCCUCCUUAUUGGUGGCUGGGUUUGGCAGUCGAAGAAGAAAAGGAAAGUGAGCAGGCCAACGACUGAAGUGAACGGAGACCACGGAGCGAGCAUUGAAUUUGAUUAAACCCAACAAGUCCAACCGACGAACGAGCCUAGCACUGACGGCCAAGAAUCCAAAGAAGACGGCCGAGGAAAGUGUUUUCUUGCUGGGAGGGGGGCUCUUAUACACCCUACCUCAAACCAAAUCAAGUAUACCUCAAUAUGUGCACCAAAAUGACAAGAAAUAUAUUUAAAAAAAAAAUUGACCUUCAAUUUUAACAUUCCGAAAAUUACGGCCUGCAAAUGUUUACCUCGAAACAAAACUGGUCUGAAGCUGCGCCUUUUCUUUUGACUAUAAACUUAGUAUUGUGCAAGUGUUAGUUUUAAAUCAGAAAAUUUAGCAAUACAGAAGUUCAAAUUACUUACAUGUACUUUGAUAGAAAACAAGUUCCAGUUGAGUUUUAGUCAUUUCCUUGUUCCUAUGGAUAUCUGUGUGA
Long non-coding RNA from Patiria miniata (bat star), 685 nucleotides. RefSeq lists it as uncharacterized. The record is from RefSeq and is a predicted model, not a curated record. The transcript has 3 exons. NCBI's taxonomy places the organism in Eukaryota, Metazoa, Echinodermata, Asteroidea, Valvatida, Asterinidae.